ACGCGAGGAACCUUACCCGGGCUUGAAAGGCAUUCGACAGGACACAGAGACGUGUCCCUUCUUCGGACGGAUGUCUAGGUGCUGCAUGGUUGUCGUCAGCUCGUGCCGUGAGGUGUCGGCUCAAGUGUCAUAACGAGCGCAACCCCUACCGCCGGUUACCAUCGGGUUACGCCGGGGACUCCGGCGGCACUGCCGCCGCAAGGCGCGAGGAAGGUGGGGAUGACGUCUAAUCAGCACGGCCCUUACGUCCGGGGCCACACACGUGUUACAAUGGGGGGCACAGAAAGCUGGAUGCCGGCGACGGUGUCCGAAUCCUCAAAUCCCCUCCCAGUUCGGACUGGAGUCUGCAACCCGACUCCACGAAGCUGGAUUCGCUAGUAAUCGCGCAUCAGCCAUGGCGCGGUGAAUACGUUCCCGGGUCUUGUACACACCG
RNAcentral lists this ribosomal RNA (433 nucleotides) under uncultured rumen bacterium. Its description in RNAcentral is "bacterial SSU rRNA". It matches the Rfam family "Bacterial small subunit ribosomal RNA", at positions 959 to 1392 of the family's 1533-position model. The record is from RNAcentral.